ACGGCAUAGGAUGAGGAAGGAUUAAAUUAGAAUCUGCUCGACAAAUCGUCGAUGUAACUCAAUACAAUCAGAGGAGUAUCGGCGGCCUGCAGCUUGCCAUGAAUGCGUUUGUAUCAAGGAGGUUAUAGCUAACGUUAUUGUACCGUCGAUGCAGUGAGGGAUGCUGUGUCCACGAAUACUGCGCAUACAACAAAAUAUGCUACCCGAGAAUCCACUGCCAUCUGGGCUGUCCAGACGGCCAUUGUGUGGGCAAGGGUAAAACAUCUCCAGACGCCAAACAAAAACAGCCCAAUUCAGGGAAAUCCAGAGCCACCAGCUCCUCCCCAAAGCCACAGCACGGACUCUCGGGCAAGGGGCCUAUCAUUUCCGAACGUUAUUCUUAUUCCGACGUGGAUAUGAAGGGGAACGACAACAGCAGGAUAGACGAGGAUGGGAUAUUUGUGGACAGAAAAGACCCGACCACGGUUGAUGGGAUCUGCAUGCCUCUUCCGCCGUGCCGAGAGGGCGUUUUCUGUGGGACUGGGCAUAGUUGUACCAUGAACUAUAACCUUGGAUACAGUGUGUGUCAGUAUAAUCUAGAUAUCGGGAGCACUCUCUGUUACGAUCGUCACGGGAAAUUGGCCUUGACCCCCAUGACGUGAGGUCAGGAUGAUAAAAGUAUACAAAACGCAAAGAAAAAAAAAACUUUUGUAAAUGUGUACGUCGAUGAAUAGAUUAUUUUUAUAUCAUAAUAUCAUUUUAUUUUGAUGUUCAGAGAAAUUCAAAAACAUAAAUGAGCAUAAAGUACAAUAAUUUUGUCUAAUAUUGAUUAAAAUGCAGUACACAUUUUUA
Aplysia californica (California sea hare) is the source of this 831-nucleotide long non-coding RNA. RefSeq lists it as uncharacterized. The transcript is spliced from 2 exons. The record is from RefSeq and is a predicted model, not a curated record. Lineage: Eukaryota; Metazoa; Mollusca; Gastropoda; Aplysiida; Aplysiidae.